This 742-nucleotide ribosomal RNA is filed under the name Enterococcus sp. RNAcentral's name for it is "bacterial SSU rRNA". It matches the Rfam family "Bacterial small subunit ribosomal RNA", at positions 51 to 763 of the family's 1533-position model. Lineage: Bacteria; Bacillati; Bacillota; Bacilli; Lactobacillales; Enterococcaceae. The record is from RNAcentral.
AUACAUGCAAGUCGAACGCUUCUUUUUCCACCGGAGCUUGCUCCACCGGAAAAAGAGGAGUGGCGAACGGGUGAGUAACACGUGGGUAACCUGCCCAUCAGAAGGGGAUAACCACUUGGAAACAGGUGCUAAUACCGUAUAACAAUCAAAACCGCAUGGUUUUGAUUUGAAAGGCGCUUUCGGGUGUCGCUGAUGGAUGGACCCGCGGUGCAUUAGCUAGUUGGUGAGGUAACGGCUCACCAAGGCCACGAUGCAUAGCCGACCUGAGAGGGUGAUCGGCCACAUUGGGACUGAGACACGGCCCAAACUCCUACGGGAGGCAGCAGUAGGGAAUCUUCGGCAAUGGACGAAAGUCUGACCGAGCAACGCCGCGUGAGUGAAGAAGGUUUUCGGAUCGUAAAACUCUGUUGUUAGAGAAGAACAAGGAUGAGAGUAACUGUUCAUCCCUUGACGGUAUCUAACCAGAAAGCCACGGCUAACUACGUGCCAGCAGCCGCGGUAAUACGUAGGUGGCAAGCGUUGUCCGGAUUUAUUGGGCGUAAAGCGAGCGCAGGCGGUUUCUUAAGUCUGAUGUGAAAGCCCCCGGCUCAACCGGGGAGGGUCAUUGGAAACUGGGAGACUUGAGUGCAGAAGAGGAGAGUGGAAUUCCAUGUGUAGCGGUGAAAUGCGUAGAUAUAUGGAGGAACACCAGUGGCGAAGGCGGCUCUCUGGUCUGUAACUGACGCUGAGGCUCGAAAGCGUG